This 698-nucleotide ribosomal RNA is filed under the name Pseudescherichia vulneris (CDC Enteric Group 1). RNAcentral describes it as "bacterial SSU rRNA". It matches the Rfam family "Bacterial small subunit ribosomal RNA", at positions 1 to 731 of the family's 1533-position model. The record is from RNAcentral. Lineage: Bacteria; Pseudomonadati; Pseudomonadota; Gammaproteobacteria; Enterobacterales; Enterobacteriaceae.
UAGAGUUUGAUCCUGGCUCAGAUUGAACGCGGCGGCAGGCCUAACACCAAGUCGAACGGUAGCACAGAGGAGCUUGCUCCUGGGUGACGAGUGGCGGACGGGUGAGUAAUGUCUGGGAAACUGCCUGAUGGAGGGGGAUAACUACUGGAAACGGUAGCUAAUACCGCAUAACGUCGCAAGACCAAAGAGGGGGACCUUCGGGCCUCUUGCCAUCAGAUGUGCCCAGAUGGGAUUAGCUAGUAGGUGGGGUAAUGGCUCACCUAGGCGACGAUCCCUAGCUGGUCUGAGAGGAUGACCAGCCACACUGGAACUGAGACACGGUCCAGACUCUACGGGAGGCAGCAGUGGGGAAUAUUGCACAAUGGGCGCAAGCCUGAUGCAGCCAUGCCGCGUGUAUGAAGAAGGCCUUCGGGUUGUAAAGUACUUUCAGCGGGGAGGAAGGCGAUACGGUUAAUAACCGUGUCGAUUGACGUUACCCGCAGAAGAAGCACCGGCUAACUCCGUGCCAGCAGCCGCGGUAAUACGGAGGGUGCAAGCGUUAAUCGGAAUUACUGGGCGUAAAGCGCACGCAGGCGGUCUGUCAAGUCGGAUGUGAAAUCCCCGGGCUCAACCUGGGAUGCUUAGACAGGCUAGAGUCUUGUAGAGGGGGGUAACGGAGAGGUAGAGAUGGAGGAAUACCGGGCGAAGGCGGCCCCCGA